Long non-coding RNA from Leopardus geoffroyi (Geoffroy's cat), 720 nucleotides. RefSeq lists it as uncharacterized. Lineage: Eukaryota; Metazoa; Chordata; Mammalia; Carnivora; Felidae. The transcript has 3 exons. The record is from RefSeq and is a predicted model, not a curated record.
UACAUAUAUGUUUAUACAGUUAUAAACAUAUAAAAUCAAAUAAUGGCUAGUGUUAGGAUGUCCUUGGAACCACAGUAGAGGGGACGGCCAUCUUGCCAGGGCAACCCAAUGAAAAGCCCCUAGUAGCUGCCAGAACUAGUUGGAGGUCAACCAAUCACCGAGCGACAGCACGACCUGACGCGAAAAAGGCCCACCUGGACCUAAACCCGGAACCGCUGCAGCUUAAAACCCCCACCCCACCACACCUGGGGGCGACUUCCCUGACUCCUCUCUCUCUCUCUCUCUCUCUGAGUCACGGAACCUCGCCCAAGGCCUUAGUUCCCAAAUAAAGCCUUCGACUGCUAAAAAUUUUUUAGCCUCUGACUCCUCUCUUUACCCUGCCUUACUCCUGACCCUAACAUUUGGUGCUGAAACCCGGGGGGAGGUAGUAGCUCGCCUCCCUUGGCUGAGCUCCCUCCUUGCCAAGCCAGAGGCCAACCAUCCUACUCUCAAGCGCCUACAGGAGCCGGGGACGACAGACUCGCAAGGCCCCCACGUGGCGAGGCUUCACCCCGAUUGGACUCUGCCUUCCAAAUGCUGGAGAUGGAGGAUGACGAGUGACGAGGCCCAGACUCAGUAACUCCAGUGACCCACGCUGAGCCCAGGGUAAAACUCCAGGAAGCAGCCAGAUCAGAUCCGUCGCCCAUUAUCACCAAUAAGAGGUUAGAAUGUUAGGAUGUC